GCUUUCGUGGUGUAGUGGUCAGCACGCUGGGCGCGUAUUCCAGAGGCCCGUGGUUCGAGUCCCGGUAAAGGCG
RNAcentral lists this transfer RNA (73 nucleotides) under Stegodyphus mimosarum. It matches the Rfam family "tRNA". From Rfam's summary of the family: Transfer RNA (tRNA) molecules are approximately 80 nucleotides in length. Lineage: Eukaryota; Metazoa; Arthropoda; Arachnida; Araneae; Eresidae. The record is from Rfam by way of RNAcentral.